GGUCUCAUAGUACAAUGGAUAGUAUAGAGGCCUCCGAAGCCUUUGAUCUAGGUUCGACUCCUAGUGAGACCG
Molecule: transfer RNA, 72 nt
Filed under: Bacteroidota bacterium
Lineage: Bacteria; Pseudomonadati; Bacteroidota
Also listed under: 3 other names
Description: tRNA-Arg
Rfam family: tRNA
About the family: Transfer RNA (tRNA) molecules are approximately 80 nucleotides in length. Their secondary structure includes four short double-helical elements and three loops (D, anti-codon, and T loops).
Source: RNAcentral